Molecule: long non-coding RNA, 823 nt
Organism: Salvia miltiorrhiza (redroot sage)
Lineage: Eukaryota; Viridiplantae; Streptophyta; Magnoliopsida; Lamiales; Lamiaceae
Exons: 3
Source: RefSeq, a predicted model, not a curated record
CAGCCCGAAACCAAAUCAUUUAUUCAAAAUUAUUUCAUUUUAAAUUAUUUUAGAUUUCAUUAUUUUGAAGCAUUUAAAUUGUGAAGUCAUUGAAAAUUUUGUUAUAUAUCAAGCUCAUGAAUUGUCUAGUCGCGCCCCUAGUUAGAUAUAUAACUUUGAACCAUAAAUUAUACCUAUAAAAAAAUAAAGAAUCUGUACAGCUCAAUAUUUUAAUAUGAAUUUGGGCCUAAAUCAAUUUAUGUGCCUAAGGUUAUUUACGAUGGGCUUUAUUAUUGGGCUAUAUAUAUAAAGCAAGCCCAUAUAUGUGUGAAGUUUAUCUGAGUUUUAAUUUUAAGAAGUUUACGUGCUGUAUGUUUACAUCAGCCACUUGUUUCCAUUCAUCAAAUUUCAGCCACGUAGCAAUCAAAUUGCUAUUACAUUUUAAUUCACCAGCCAACCAAUAUCAUCCCCAUUCAAACAGUAUUACAUUUCCUUUGAAAUCGAAAAUCAUACUCAAUAAACUACAAUCAUUAAGAUCUUUCAGAUGCAGAGUUUUCAGCCUGAUUUCCUCUCCAGAUAUCAGUAAUCCCAUUAUUUAUGUGCGGCGCGACUAGGGCAUGAAUUUUGAUUGAAUUACUUAAGUUAACUUUCAAGUUGAAGUUGGAGUUCAAGUUCAAGUUAAAUCUUCAAGUAUUUUCACGUUGGAGACGCGUGGAGGGUCGAAUGGGCGCAUCAAGUCAUUUUGAAAAUAGUUGAUUCAAAUAUUUAAAGUUUUACUUAGUAGUUAAACAUUUUCAUGAUAUCUUUAUGUCAUGCUUUGGAACGAAGGUGUUGAUUUUUGAUU